AAUAGAUUAAGUAAUGAAAUAUAACAUGCCAUCAAUGUCUACUAGAAAUAAUGACUGAUAGCAAGAUAUCAAGUUCUAAACAUAUAGUAAUACAAUGUGAACAAAUAUGGCAGCCUGCUUCACUUUAAGCAGGCAAAACCUUGUAGAUCCCUCCUAAUUUUAAAAUU
Molecule: long non-coding RNA, 167 nt
Organism: Hibiscus syriacus
Lineage: Eukaryota; Viridiplantae; Streptophyta; Magnoliopsida; Malvales; Malvaceae
Exons: 3
Source: RefSeq, a predicted model, not a curated record